ACCUGUGUGGUGUAAUGGUGUGAGCAUUGGACUACAACUCUAGAGAUCAUGGUUCAAGUCCAGGCUUGGCUG
Non-coding RNA from Phrynosoma platyrhinos (Desert horned lizard), 72 nucleotides. The record is from the annotation of a GenBank genome assembly. NCBI's taxonomy places the organism in Eukaryota, Metazoa, Chordata, Lepidosauria, Squamata, Phrynosomatidae.